AGAGUUUGAUCCUGGCUCAGAUUGAACGCUGGCGGCAGGCCUAACACAUGCAAGUCGAGCGGAUGACGGGAGCUUGCUCCUUGAUUCAGCGGCGGACGGGUGAGUAAUGCCUAGGAAUCUGCCUGGUAGUGGGGGACAACGUUUCGAAAGGAACGCUAAUACCGCAUACGUCCUACGGGAGAAAGCAGGGGACCUUCGGGCCUUGCGCUAUCAGAUGAGCCUAGGUCGGAUUAGCUAGUAGGUGAGGUAAUGGCUCACCUAGGCGACGAUCCGUAACUGGUCUGAGAGGAUGAUCAGUCACACUGGAACUGAGACACGGUCCAGACUCCUACGGGAGGCAGCAGCGGGGAAUAUUGGACAAUGGGCGAAAGCCUGAUCCAGCCAUGCCGCGUGUGUGAAGAAGGUCUUCGGAUUGUAAAGCACUUUAAGUUGGGAGGAAGGGUUGUACGUUAAUACCGUGCAAUUUUGACGUUACCGACAGAAUAAGCACCGGCUAACUCUGUGCCAGCAGCCGCGGUAAUACAGAGGGUGCAAGCGUUAAUCGGAAUUACUGGGCGUAAAGCGCGCGUAGGUGGUUCGUUAAGUUGGAUGUGAAAGCCCCGGGCUCAACCUGGGAACUGCAUCCAAAACUGGCGAGCUAGAGUAUGGUAGAGGGUGGUGGAAUUUCCUGUGUAGCGGUGAAAUGCGUAGAUAUAGGAAGGAACACCAGUGGCGAAGGCGACCACCUGGACUGAUACUGACACUGAGGUGCGAAAGCGUGGGGAG
This 765-nucleotide ribosomal RNA is filed under the name uncultured bacterium. RNAcentral describes it as "bacterial SSU rRNA". It matches the Rfam family "Bacterial small subunit ribosomal RNA", at positions 8 to 768 of the family's 1533-position model. The record is from RNAcentral.